This is a non-coding RNA of Misgurnus anguillicaudatus (oriental weatherfish), 2217 nucleotides long. NCBI's taxonomy places the organism in Eukaryota, Metazoa, Chordata, Actinopteri, Cypriniformes, Cobitidae. The record is from RefSeq and is a predicted model, not a curated record.
GUUGCGGUGUGUCACGUGACAAUCAUGACCCGUCGCCAUGGACACAAGGGGUCAGAUAAAAUAUUUUUAAUUUACGCGUGAAAGGCUUGAUUUUAAAAAUAUAUAUAUAUUCUAAGUAAACAACAACAGCCCUAGUUUAGUAAAAAAAAAAUAUUGAAACUAUAAAUAAAUAUUCUGCAUCCAUUUUAGGUGUGCUACUGUGGUUGGCUCCCGCACACCCGUGGCUACGCCCCUGCAGUGACCCAAAUCUCGUUCGUACAUCAUCGCGAUAUUUAUCAUCUGUUUACAAACGUCGCCACAUCUCGCUUCGUAAGAUGGAAUUACUGGGCUUCUCUCCAAUGCUCUUUAUUACAACGCAGAGAGGCCAGCAUCGCUCCACAAAAAACGUCAACGUUCAGAGGCAUCAUUCAGUACCGGUCAUGCAGAGACUUUAUGAGGCUGUUGUAAGAGGCAUUUAUGUGUACACAUGCAUUUACCAAUUGAAAAACUUUUUGUAUUAUAAUGGUCUUUUUUCACAGAUUGUGAUGAUGCAUUUCCACAGUUAUUAACAUGGUAAAUCUAACAAAGUUUAUGUUUAUAUAUAUAUGGGCUGGGCAUAGAUCAAUUUAGAUUUGAGUAUUUAGGUAUUGAAUGUGAUGCUGGAGAUUGUAUAAUUAUUUUUCACUUGUAUAAAGUGUUUUAUCAUUCACAUUUUUGUGUUGAAAUAAAUUAGCCUAUCCCCUGUAUGUCACUGAUGCACUACUUCAAAGAUUUGAGGACAAGAACAUACACCUGCGAGUAGUCUUAGACAUUGCCUGUGUUAUUGCCUCACAUUUGCAGAUCAAGUACAGAACCAGAUGGCUUGAUGGGUUUGGGCUCACAGACGGGGAAGGAAUGGAAAGGCUGUGGUCUUUCCUCCAAAGAUUUGCCAGAGUCACAAAGGAGAUGACUCCAUCUCAUCGCCUUGACCUACUGACUGAUGCCCUUUUGCAUUAUGGACGGAGGAAAUCAACUGACCUAGAGGUGCAGCUCCUGCAAAGAGUAGACAAAGCAGAGAAAAUAUUGAUUCUUGCUCAAAAAGAUAUCUCAUGUCAUCAGAGAGGCAUCAGUGUUGAUUUCUGAAGGAGACAUGGAGAGAUGGAAAAAGCUAGCCCAACAGAAACCAAUAAACACUGUCUGUAGAUGGAAAAGGGACUACAUCAUCAGACUGAUUCAGUUCUACAAGUUCAAAUAUUAGAAUUGAGGACUCUGCUGAACAUUGAGAAAAACUACCGUAUUGGGAGAAGAUGGCAAGAGUCUGAUUCAAACUUCCAGUCUACCCUUAAAGAUGUGGACCGUGAGCUCAGAGUCCAACUGCAAGGCUAGAACUGUAUCAAGGGAGAGAGCAGUCGUCCUCCACCUGAGAAGAAUAUAUCCAGCUUUGCUUCAGAUGGGCAGGGCAAUGCCAUUAGACUCUCCAAGCAGGUAGCCAGCUCCAACAAUAGACUGAGACAGCAUUCAAUAGUCACCGCAGAUGAGCUUCUUACCUGCGACAAUUGAUUUUCAGGAAUCAUGUGAUCCCUCUUGGCAUGUCUACUUCUGCUUUAAUGACACUGUUGAAGAAGAUGAUGUUUCGAGGAGUCUAAAAAAGCGAGGGAUUGAUGCCUUACAUAUGAAGACUCAUGCAAAAGCUGCUCUCAUUCAACGCUUCCAACAGCUGGAAAGAAAACUACAUCAAGCCAUUGUGAUGUUUCACCCACAGACAACCCCCACUUGUGUCAGGCCCUCCCCAUGCCAAGCAUACAGACACUGGUAUACAAUGAUAAGAGUGAUAAUGAUGACAAUGUGGAUAAAUAUGAUAACUAGCACUACAGAUUUUUUUUUUAUUUCUAGUCUGAUAUUGUAUUCGGUAAAAAGAAUGAUGUAAAAUGUAUAGUAUAUGUUGCAGCAUAUCAUAGAAACCUUUAUGGUGGUGUAAUAUAAUGUUCGCCUUACUUGUGCAAACAUGAUGUUUUACUAGGUCUGAUUUAUUUUAAAGCGUAGGUACUGUUUUUAAGCACACAUAUUCACACUAGUCUGUGUGAGGACAAAAUUAUGUGUUUACCAUGUUACUUAUUUACUGUAAUGUACAAAUGUGGUCAAUGUGUGUAAUGUGUUUUGUUUUUGUGAGCUAAGUUGAAAUGACAAAGUAUUGAAUCUUGAAUCCUUUGAAACAAAUACUGUAAAAGUUUGUAAAAAAUAAAAUGUUUUCCACAAUGA